AUGUGUGUAUGCUGGCGUCAACGAGCCUCCGGAAGUAGCUCUCUGCUCAACUUGUUGCGGUUCCCUGGCGGCGGGAGGGAAGUGCACUGCUAUAGGGUGCUCUCCUUUACGGGGGCAGGCGGUCAGCCGCUGCGGUGCAGCUCAAAAACAUGUGCCAGACGGUUCGGUGCUUUGGCCAGGAUGGCGACGAGUGCUGCUCCGGGUCAACGCCAUUGUGCCUCCUUCUGCCGAGUGCAGUACUCACCUCACCGCGCUGUAGUCCGUAUUUCCAGUGCAUGCAGCUCGCAACCCGCCAAUGUACCGUCUAGCAAAAAUUCUGCAGUGCACUUGCCCAUGAGAAGUUCACUUCUUUUUCUAAUGCACUUUGUUUCGUUUGUGGCUCUCGUAAACAUGCAUAGAAGAAAAGUAAAAAAAAUUAAGUGCAGCUCACUUGUUUCAUUGCUGUAG
This 447-nucleotide ribosomal RNA is filed under the name Triticum aestivum (bread wheat). RNAcentral describes it as "partial small subunit ribosomal RNA". Lineage: Eukaryota; Viridiplantae; Streptophyta; Magnoliopsida; Poales; Poaceae. The record is from RNAcentral.